AUGUCCCGUAUUUUUAUACAUUGGGACAACCCGGAUUAACUAUGAUAAGUUAGGGCCAAGAUCAUUCCGGGACUUGAAAUCGGGACUUUUGACCUUCGAUUUUAUUUUGAGACAUAAGUUGUACAUGAAAUUGUUGUCAUGAAAAACUUAGGAAAAAUUGGGACCAAAAUUCAUAUAAUUGGAAGUUGAAAUCUUGCUAAAAAAAGGGCCUUGUGGCCGUGUGGCUUUGAAAUUGGUCCCACACAUGUUGUGGCCAAUUUUAAAUGGUCCAACACUUGUGUGGGCCAUGGACACUUGGAGAAUUAGUGUGGGAGCUUAAAAGAUGACUUCUAAGUCAUCUUUUCUCAUUCAACACUUAGAAAAAAAAAAUCAAGGAAGUGAAGAACAACAACCAACAACUCACGGCCAACCAAGAAAAAAAUCAAGCCCAAUUUUAUCCAUUCCAAAAAUAUUUCUUUGGUGUAAAUCCACUAAUUGGAGGUCCCUAAGUAGCGUGGAAGCGUUGUUGGAGCGAUCAAGCCAUCCGUUUAGUAGAUCGCAAACCCUAGCCUAUUUGUGGAAUUGAAGAAGAAAGACCUUGGGGAGCCCGAGGCGUAGGUUGGGAUUAGCUUGAGUUGGGCUAGCUUGGAGUGCGUACGAGGUACAGACGCACAGUUUGGUUAUCCACCAGUUUAGGACACUCUCUUCUGCUGUUUGGAGUGCUCCUAUUAUUCCGGAGCCUGCCUUUUGGUAUAUAUUCGUUCUUUGCACAUGUAUAUAUUUGUUCAGGGGUACGGCGGGGCCCUGUCCCGCCAUAUGAUUCGGUUGAUCUAUUUAGAGGUCUGUAGACGUAUAUGUGGGUUGUGCCUACUUCUGUACAGGUGUGUUUGUAUGAUCCCACUCGCCAUGGCAGCCAUGUCGGCGUGCAUUUGUAUAUGUUUUGGGCCGUUGCGCCAUUUGAUAGCCUUGUCGGCUUUUGAUAUAUAUAUAUGUACUUAUUUGGUUGCGUUUGAAAUGUGUUUGAGACAGUUUGAUAUAAUGUGAGGCAGCGUGUGAUAUUUGUGCCCGUAUACGCUAUCUGUAUGUGAUUCGGAUUGGAUGAGUGUGUUCGGGUGCCCAGUUCGGGCACUAGUCACGACCUACGGGGUUGGGUCGUGACAGGAAUGCUUACAGAGGGUACAUGGUCAAGCUUGGGGACUAAUUGCUGAUUGUCUUGUCUUAAACUUAAUGAAGGAAGGGACAACUUUCAAUUUCAAGUUUUUAGAUUUCAAAACCUUAUUAUCUUGUUUUUACUUUCCAAUUAUAGCUUUAAUUAUAAGUGUCCUGAUUGCCUCUUUCUUAGUACCUACA
Molecule: long non-coding RNA, 1329 nt
Organism: Lycium barbarum (goji berry)
Lineage: Eukaryota; Viridiplantae; Streptophyta; Magnoliopsida; Solanales; Solanaceae
Exons: 3
Source: RefSeq, a predicted model, not a curated record